AGUGAACGCUGGCGGUAUGCUUAACACAUGCAAGUCGAACGGCAGCACAGUAAGAGCUUGCUCUUACCGGUUGCGGGUGGCGGACGGGUGAGGAAUACAUCGUACUCUACUUUUUCGUGGGGGAUCACGUAGGGAAACUUACUCUCAUACCGCAUACGCCCUACCGUUGUAAGCGGGGGAUCUUCUCACCUUGUGCGGUUGGAUGCGCCGAUGUUGGGUUAGCUAGUUGGCGGGGUAAAGGCCCAGCAUGGCGCGGAUACGUAGCUGGUCUGAGUGGCGGGUCAGCCGCACUGGAACUGGAACACGGUCCAGACUCCUGCGGGAGGCAGCAGUGGGGAAUAUGGGACAAUGGGCGCAAGCCUGAUCCAGCCAUCGCGCGUGUGUGAAGAAGGCCUUCGGGGUGGGAUGCCCGUUUGUGGGGAAAGAAAAGCAGCAGGUUAAUACCCCGCGGUACUGACGGUACCCGAAGAAUAAGCACCGGCUAACUUCGUG
Molecule: ribosomal RNA, 492 nt
Filed under: uncultured bacterium
Lineage: Bacteria
Description: partial 16S ribosomal RNA
Rfam family: Bacterial small subunit ribosomal RNA
Source: RNAcentral